UCCCUGGUGGCUCAGCAGUAAAGAAUCUGCCUGCAAUGCAGGUGACCCAGGUUGGAUCCCUGGAUCGGGAA
This 71-nucleotide transfer RNA is filed under the name Bos taurus (domestic cattle). It matches the Rfam family "tRNA". From Rfam's summary of the family: Transfer RNA (tRNA) molecules are approximately 80 nucleotides in length. Their secondary structure includes four short double-helical elements and three loops (D, anti-codon, and T loops). The record is from Rfam by way of RNAcentral. RNAcentral also lists the same sequence under 2 other names. Lineage: Eukaryota; Metazoa; Chordata; Mammalia; Artiodactyla; Bovidae.